Molecule: long non-coding RNA, 230 nt
Filed under: Nicotiana benthamiana
Lineage: Eukaryota; Viridiplantae; Streptophyta; Magnoliopsida; Solanales; Solanaceae
Description: long non-coding RNA (NBEN_LNC037931)
Source: RNAcentral
UAGAACAAAAGGAUUACUGAAUACAUGCUUACAAUUACUUGAAAUUUAACUUUACUUCAUAGAUUCAAAAUAGGCAUAUCCCAUUACAAGAUACCUAGCACAACAUUGAUUUUUAGUCUUUGGACAGAAAACAACUUGUAAGUGGUACUCUUGGUGUAGUGAUCAAACAUAGACAAUAAACUCCUGUCAAAUAUUAAACCUUCCUUUGGGCCGAUUUAAUAUUCACANNN